RNAcentral lists this ribosomal RNA (745 nucleotides) under uncultured bacterium. RNAcentral describes it as "bacterial SSU rRNA". It matches the Rfam family "Bacterial small subunit ribosomal RNA", at positions 33 to 773 of the family's 1533-position model. The record is from RNAcentral.
ACGCUGGCGGCAGGCCUAACACAUGCAACUCGAGCGGUAGAGAGGAGCUUGCUUCUCUUGAGAGCGGCGGACGGGUGAGUAAUGCCUAGGAAUCUGCCUGGUAGUGGGGGAUAACGUUCGGAAACGGACGCUAAUACCGCAUACGUCCUACGGGAGAAAGCAGGGGACCUUCGGGCCUUGCGCUAUCAGAUGAGCCUAGGUCGGAUUAGCUAGUUGGUGGGGUAACGGCUCACCAAGGCGACGAUCCGUAACUGGUCUGAGAGGAUGAUCAGUCACACUGGAACUGAGACACGGUCCAGACUCCUACGGGAGGCAGCAGUGGGGAAUAUUGGACAAUGGGCGAAAGCCUGAUCCAGCCAUGCCGCGUGUGUGAAGAAGGUCUUCGGAUUGUAAAGCACUUUAAGUUGGGAGGAAGGGUUGUAGAUUAAUACUCUGCAAUUUUGACGUUACCGACAGAAUAAGCACCGGCUAACUCUGUGCCAGCAGCCGCGGUAAUACAGAGGGUGCAAGCGUUAAUCGGAAUUACUGGGCGUAAAGCGCGCGUAGGUGGUUAGUUAAGUUGGAUGUGAAAUCUCCGGGCUCAACCUGGGAACUGCAUUCAAAACUGACUGACUAGAGUAUGGUAGAGGGUGGUGGAAUUUCCUGUGUAGCGGUGAAAUGCGUAGAUAUAGGAAGGAACACCAGUGGCGAAGGCGACCACCUGGACUGAUACUGACACUGAGGUGCGAAAGCGUGGGGAGCAAAC